AAUAGCGAGGCAGCAGUGCAGCUUUCAGAGGGUCCGGGCUCAGAGGGGCUAUGAUUCGGAGGGUUCUGCCGCACGGCAUGGGCCGGGGCCUCUUGACCCGGAGGCCAGGCACGCGCAGAGGAGGCUUUUCUCUGGACUGGGAUGGAAAGGUGUCUGAGAUUAAGAAGAAGAUCAAGUCGAUCCUGCCUGGAAGGUCCUGUGAUCUACUGCAAGACACCAGCCACCUGCCUCCCGAGCACUCGGAUGUGGUGAUCGUGGGAGGUGGGGUGCUUGGCUUGUCUGUGGCCUAUUGGCUGAAGAAGCUGGAGAGCAGACGAGGUGCUAUUCGAGUGCUAGUGGUGGAACGGGACCACACGGUGAGGUCUGGGGUAGGGCAGAGUCAUGAGUGGGGCAAGAAAGAUGACUCAUUUUAUUAAGGACUCUAGCGACAAGGGAAGGAGAGGAGGGGAAGACCUCAAUCUCGGGGGGUCCAACGGACAGAGAUUGUGCUUUGGACUUUGUUGAGAAAUUUUCCUAGGCUCUUCCUCAGUCGAACCAGGAAGCUUGGCAAUAAGGUUUGUUCUUUUGAAAGCAGAUAUCA
Molecule: small RNA, 580 nt
Filed under: Pan troglodytes (chimpanzee)
Lineage: Eukaryota; Metazoa; Chordata; Mammalia; Primates; Hominidae
Description: retained intron
Source: RNAcentral